This 510-nucleotide ribosomal RNA is filed under the name uncultured bacterium. RNAcentral describes it as "bacterial SSU rRNA". It matches the Rfam family "Bacterial small subunit ribosomal RNA", at positions 390 to 918 of the family's 1533-position model. The record is from RNAcentral.
AGCCAUGCCGCGUGAGUGAUGAAGGCCUUAGGGUCGCAAAGCUCUUUCGCCAGGGAUGAUAAUGACAGUACCUGGUAAAGAAACCCCGGCUAACUCCGUGCCAGCAGCCGCGGUAAUACGGAGGGGGUUAGCGUUGUUCGGAAUUACUGGGCGUAAAGCGUACGUAGGCGGAUUAGUCAGUUAGGGGUGAAAUCCCAGGGCUCAACCCUGGAACUGCCUCUAAUACUGCUAGUCUUGAGUUCGAGAGAGGUGAGUGGAAUUCCGAGUGUAGAGGUGAAAUUCGUAGAUAUUCGGAGGAACAUCAGUGGCGAAGGCGGCUCACUGGCUCGAUACUGACGCUGAGGUACGAAAGUGUGGGGAGCAAACAGGAUUAGAUACCCUGGUAGUCCACACCGUAAACGAUGAAUGCCAGACGUCGGGUAGCAUGCUAUUCGGUGUCACACCUAACGGAUUAAGCAUUCCGCCUGGGGAGUACGGUCGCAAGAUUAAAACUCAAAUGAAUUGACGGGG